GAUGAACGCUGGCGGCGUGCCUAAUACAUGCAAGUCGAGCGAAUGGAUUAAGAGCUUGCUCUUAUGAAGUUAGCGGCGGACGGGUGAGUAACACGUGGGUAACCUGCCCAUAAGACUGUGAUAACUCCGGGAAACCGGGGCUAAUACCGGAUAACAUUUUGAACCGCAUGGUUCGAAAUUGAAAGGCGGCUUCGGCUGUCACUUAUGGAUGGACCCGCGUCGCAUUAGCUGGUUGGUGAGGUAACGGCUCACCAAGGCAACGAUGCGUAGCCGACCUGAGAGGGUGAUCGGCCACACUGGGACUGAGACACGGCCCAGACUCCUACGGGAGGCAGCAGUAGGGAAUCUUCCGCAAUGGACGAAAGUCUGACGGAGCAACGCCGCGUGAGUGAUGAAGGCUUUCGGGUCGUAAAACUCUGUUGUUAGGGAAGAACAAGUGCUAGUUGAAUAAGCUGGCACCUUGACGGUACCUAACCAGAAAGCCACGGCUAACUACGUGCCAGCCGCCGCGGUAA
RNAcentral lists this ribosomal RNA (515 nucleotides) under uncultured bacterium. RNAcentral's name for it is "partial 16S ribosomal RNA". It matches the Rfam family "Bacterial small subunit ribosomal RNA", at positions 28 to 523 of the family's 1533-position model. The record is from RNAcentral.